Papaver somniferum (opium poppy) is the source of this 2787-nucleotide RNA transcript. RefSeq lists it as uncharacterized. NCBI's taxonomy places the organism in Eukaryota, Viridiplantae, Streptophyta, Magnoliopsida, Ranunculales, Papaveraceae. The transcript is spliced from 7 exons. The record is from RefSeq and is a predicted model, not a curated record.
ACUAUGAUGAAAUUAACUUGUUGAUGUAAACAUGUUACCUGAGAUCCAAACAAAAGAAGCAAUAACAUACAACAACAAGACCCUCCUAAUCUGUAAUUGAAACAAGGAUCCUCUUACUGGUUUGCCUGCCUUCAAGGAGAGCUGUGCGAAGAGUCCUCGCCGAUGAUUUGUUACGAGAAUAAGCAAGCAUUUAUCGUUACGCCCUAAAGGUUGAUUCGCUGGUUCGGGUGCACCGUAUAUAAUACAUCUAUGCUUACAGGAGUGUUUGGAGUGUCAGACGACGGUUAGGAUAUAUCCGUUUUUCCUGAAUAGAUUAAAUCAGAUACACUUAAACAUAUGGAUAUCGAUUUUGUUACUCACAGUGGUGCUUAGAGAAACUCUUGAAAAUUACUUCACAAUGAUUUAUCCUUCAAUCUUCUAUUCAGUUAAAUUACUUUGCAUGCAAAGAUGAAUUUGGCUAGAAUUGAGUCUGAUAAAACAUUUCAUUCAAUUAUAUAAUUUAUAUUGUUAUGUUCUAUUAGGACAUUAUGGGUUGUGUUUUUAAGCUGAAAUUUAUGAUCCUAAUCAACGAAGUUUAGUAAUUUGAUCAAGGAGUUAUCACUGUAAUCUACAAAAAAGUUUGAAGUUUGGUCUUGGAUUUUUUCAACAUGAAAAGAGCGAUUAUGCCCUUGAAGUGUUUGAGGAAAUGGCUAACUAAAGAGUUCUGGGGUAUGAUACAGGUCUAAGUAUUUGUUAUCUGCAUUUUCACUGUAUAGAGCUUAGUUUAUGGUUUUUGUUUCAUCGAUGCUUUAGAUUUCAAUUAGAUUACUUUUAAUUGUAAAGAAGUUGUUGACAAAUAUCAUGCUCCAACAAGACCACAAGCAUCCCCAUUUCUGCGUUACAUAUUUGAAGAGUUCGAGAUACAGUAUAGAAAUUUGUAAAGGAGCGAAUCUGUUACAACCUCUCUGCACUAUUUCUAAGUGAACUAAACGAUGAUGAAUUCUGCAGUGAUCAAGCCUUAAAAGGUGUUGGAAGCAUGGCCUUUUAGCUUUUGCCACCAUCCCUUUGCUAAUUUUCUUUAAUAUGUCUUCAUGGGUGCAAUUACAAGUGAGCCGCGAGAACAGUAUGAGUGGAUGAUAUCGUUAUUAAUCAACUAAAGUAAGUGGCAGUAAUAAGUAACUGGAGACGGUGAAGGUAAGUAUCGCACAUCUUUUUAUUACAUUAAGAGGUUCUUCUUACAAGUUUUUACUGAAUUUCCUGUGUAUUUUUGUCUUUCCAAUAGGAGUUGUUUGCCUCUCUGCAAAUAAAGUAUGAUGUCUGGAUUAAAGUUUAUCAAGGAGUUCAGAUGUUAUCAAUAGAUUUUAUAAACAAAAGAGUUUGACAUAUUAUCUUUUACCUGUAAUUUAUAGACAUGCAGUUCUUUCUUUUACUAACCUCCGUACUUAUGAGUGGUUGAAGGUCUUAUACUUUUUUGUACACCCGACCUUUAUGUCUUUGAAUGUCGCUCAUGCUUUAACUAAAAGGGUAAGUUUAGAAAUGUAUCUUUUAUGGUAAACUUCCAGGGGGGUGAUUUGUGUUACAGAAAAUUACUUAGUCAAAUACCGCAGUCCAUAACUUCUCUAAAUACUCACCAGUAAAUUUAAUGAUCUACUCAGGGUGAGUAACAAUGAGUAGAUUGCAUAUAUAUUUUUUAAGUACUUGCUUAAAAUCACAAUGAUUGUAAUGUUGGUUGUUUAACUGGCUGUCUUUGAUUUUUGUAGGUGUGGAGAAUAGUGGAGGAGGGAGUGGUAAAGCGAUUUCUGAAGUAGGCUGGUACAUACUUGGGGAGAAUCAAGAGCAUGUUGGUCCAUAUGCAUUCUCAAAAUUACAAGAGCAUUUCAAGAAUGGAUACAUCUCCGAGAGUAUGCUAUUAUGGGCUGAAGGAAGAACUGAAUGGCUGCCGUUGUCAUCGAUUCCUGAACUGUUCACAGGAAAUAUCUGCUAUUACAGCAGCGACUUCUGACAAUGAUGAUGAGUUCGCCAAAUGGCAAGAGGAGGUUAGGAAAGUGGAACUCGAAGCUGAGGCUUUGAAGCAUGGCUCAAAAUUAAAUGAUGUUGGUGGGUCAGAUCAGUUGAAAGACUUGGAGGGGGAUGUUGACGAAAGGCCUUCCACACCACCUGAUGGCGAGGAAGGAUUCACUGAUGAUGAUGGAACUGUGUACAAGUGGGACAGAGGUCUUAGAGCAUGGGUUCCCCAAGUGUAGUGUCUUCCAAGUCAACACCGUUACUUGCAAACAAAAUUCAUGUACACAAGGAAAAAGAGAAACUAGCUGGGUUAUCAAUGGAACAGAAAAUACCCAUUGUGGUUGGUGCAUCAAGUGGUAGUCCUAAAAAGGAGAUAUGUCCUGCCCUUUAUUCCACUAUAUUACAGGGUUUGUUUUCCCAAGUGAACAUUACCACAAUGCUUGCCCCAUGGUCAAUGAAUCCACCACCUACAGAAUGCUUGCCCCAUGGUCAAUGACUCCACCUCCAUGUCAUCGCUGGGGACUACUGCUGGAUCUACUGGCACUACUAAGAUCAUUUCCCCUAGCAGUUACAUGACACUACAGAAUAUCUGAAGGCAACAACCCAACAUGUGCAGCAUGAACCCGAAACACCAAGGGAUUAUAUGGUUGUAUUCUACUGCUUUGGUUUUUGGUUUUGUUGGGAAGGCAAUCUUAGUCUAAAUAUGUGUGUGUAUGUAAAAUAAAAAGAAAAGGUAUACGCACUGUGACAACAGCUUUUACUUCAAAUUGCCUAGAUAUAUAUUUACUUCAAAUUGCCUAGAUG